UUGGAAAUGUUGCUGUGCUCUACAACUGACAUUCAGUUCAAAUCUUAUUGUUAUGUGCAGCGGAAGAUUUCCUGGAGUGGAAGUUGGCUUCCCUAAUUGGCAUAUGUGCUUCUAGCUAAAUCUAUAGUGGAAAAAAUCCUGAAUUUUCAAAGGAUUUUCUACCACUGUUAAUUGCAUUAUAUUACGGUGAUUUUAGGUUUCCCUUUAUAACCAAGAUCUGAGUACUAUUUUAUUUCUUUUGUUGUUUAGGUCUUCGGAGCUAGAGGGAAAAAAGGGGUUAACCGCGAAGCAGGUCUGGCACAUUCUGGCAAAAACAUCAGUCAAAGGGAUCCAACUUAGCUCUUCUCCUCUUUGGAAUUUCCACUGGCUGUAGCUGUGCUAUUUUUAGAAGUUUGCUUUUUAUUUGCAUUCUCUUUCUUUUCUCUCUGCCAACACCGAGACUGAGAUCUCAUAAAACUGACAUUAAAAUUAUCAAAUAAUAUUGAACCAACCUAAUGAAAAUCUUAACCAAAAGUCACUGUAAAUUAGGUAUUUGCUAUACUGAGAAUACAAGCCUUUGUAAACUAGAUAUUGUUCUUAUGUAAACUCAUGAAUGGAGACUUUCUCAAAUAAAUUACUUCUUAAUAACACCAGAGAGUCAUUGGCUGUGUAAAUAUCUCCCUGGGGCACUCACUG
This 675-nucleotide long non-coding RNA is filed under the name Ornithorhynchus anatinus (platypus). RNAcentral's name for it is "lncRNA (ENSOANG00000043151.1)". The record is from RNAcentral. Lineage: Eukaryota; Metazoa; Chordata; Mammalia; Monotremata; Ornithorhynchidae.